Molecule: ribosomal RNA, 1959 nt
Filed under: Balneola sp.
Lineage: Bacteria; Pseudomonadati; Balneolota; Balneolia; Balneolales; Balneolaceae
Description: bacterial LSU rRNA
Rfam family: Bacterial large subunit ribosomal RNA
Source: RNAcentral
UUGAAGUGAUUAAGGGCACACGGUGGAUGCCUUGGCAUGCAGAGGCGAUGAAGGACGUGUAAAGCUGCGAAAAGCCACGGGGAGCUGCACAAAAGUGUUGAUCCGUGGGUGUCCGAAUGGGGCAACCCAUCCCUUAGGGGAUAUCCUUUCGAGGAGGCAUACGCUCUGAACUGAAACAUCUAAGUAGGAGCAGGAAGAGAAAACAAUAGUGAUUCCCUGAGUAGUGGCGAGCGAAAGGGGAGCAGCCCAAACCGGGCCCUACGGGGUUCGGGGUUGUAGGACCUGCGGGAGUUGUGUUAUUGGAAGUCGAAUGGGUCUGGAAAGCCCAGCCACAGACGGUGAUAGUCCGGUAGGCGUAACGAUGACAUGAUGGCGGGUAUCCUGAGUAGCGCGAGGCCGGUGAAACCUUGCGUGAAUUUGCCGGCACCAUCCGGUAAGGCUAAAUACAUCUGCAUGACCGAUAGUGAACCAGUACCGUGAGGGAAAGGUGAAAAGAACGCCGAGACGGCGAGUGAAAUAGUACCUGAAACCGUGUGCUUACAAGCGGUCGGAGGCCCUUCGGGGCUGACGGCGUGCCUUUUGUAUAAUGAGCCUACGAGUUACUCCUGUUGUGCGAGGUUAAGCCCUUUCGGGGUGGAGCCGUAGCGAAAGCGAGUCUGAAUAGGGCGCGUAGUACGACGGGGUAGACGCGAAACCAAGUGAUCUAUCCAUGGCCAGGGUGAAGCGAAGGUAAGACUUCGUGGAGGCCCGAACCGGUUGACGUUGAAAAGUCUUCGGAUGAGCUGUGGAUAGGGGUGAAAGGCCAAUCAAACUUGGAGAUAGCUCGUACUCCCCGAAAUAUAUUUAGGUAUAGCGUCUGGUUUUGUCUGCCCGGAGGUAGAGCACUGAUUAGGCUAGGGGGCUUCACCGCCUACCAACCCUAGACAAACUCCGAAUACCGGGCCAGAGCCGCCAGGCAGUCAGUCCUAGGGUGAUAACGUCCUAGGGCGAGAGGGGAACAACCCAGACCACCAGCUAAGGUCCCUAAAUGAUGGCUAAGUUGAUCAAAGAAAGUUGAGUUGCUCAGACAACUAGGAGGUUGGCUUAGAAGCAGCCAUUCCUUUAAAGAGUGCGUAAUAGCUCACUAGUCAAGCGACUCGGCGUCGAUAAUAAUCGGGCAUAAGUCAUCUGCCGAAGCUGUGGGAUAGAGAUAUCGGUAGGGGAGCAUUCCAGUCGGCGUAGAAGGAGUCCUGUGAGGGGCUUUGGAGCGGUUGGAAGCGAAACUGUAGGCAUGAGUAACGAUAAGACAGGUGAAAAACCUGUCCACCGUAAACCCAAGGGUUCCUGAUCAACGCUAAUCGGAUCAGGGUUAGUCGAGACCUAAGGUGUACCCGGUGAUGCCGGGGAAGCUGAUGGCAAAGCGGUUAAAUAUUCCGCUACCCUAGCAAACGCUAGGCUAAGGCGUGACGCAGAAGUGACACUCCCGCGUGCUGACGAAUGCACGUUGAAGGGUGUAGGCUAGAGAGUAGGUAAAUCCGCUCUCUGUGAAGGCUGAACCCCGACAGUACCCGGAGUCUUCGGACGAAGGGAUAGUGGAGGUAAUCCUGCUGCCAAGAAAAGCGUCGUAGUUUGUUUGUUAGGCUCGUACCCCAAACCGACACAGGUGGGUGAGGAGAGUAUCCUCAGGUGCUCGAGUGAAUCAUGGCUAAGGAACUAGGCAAAUUAGAUCCGUAACUUCGGGAGAAGGAUCCCCCUGGCAACAGGGGCGCAGUGAAAAGGCCCAAGCGACUGUUUACCAAAAACACAUGUCUCUGCUAAGCCGUAAGGCGAUGUAUAGGGACUGACACCUGCCCGGUGCCGGAAGGUUAAAGAAGGGGGUUAUCUUCGGAGAAGCUCUUGACUGAAGCCCCGGUAAACGGCGGCCGUAACUAUAACGGUCCUAAGGUAGCGAAAUUCCUUGUCGGGUAAGUUCCGACCUGC